This is a non-coding RNA of Biomphalaria pfeifferi, 971 nucleotides long. NCBI's taxonomy places the organism in Eukaryota, Metazoa, Mollusca, Gastropoda, Planorbidae. The record is from the annotation of a GenBank genome assembly.
GAGCACUACAGACACAGUACAAUGCAUGGAGCACUAUAGACACAGUACAAUGCAUGGAGCACUACAGACACAGUACAAUGUAUGGAGCAAUACACACUCAGCACAGUUCAAUGUCUGUCAAACAGUUCAUGGUAAUUCUCUGCAAGUGACAGGCACACAAACACACAUUUCACCACACAGGGGAGAUCAAGAGAGUUAAGGAAACAAUUCUUUAUCCACAAGUUCCCAUAAACCAUUCAGCCUUAUAAAUCCUAAGGCAAACUAAAGCACAACACACUGACCCACACAUAUUAUUAACCACUAACAAACUUUACACACACAUCUGAAAUGAGAAGUAGAUAUGAAUUUUUAUUAUAUUCAAAAUAAAACUAUGUAUCAUUUAAUAUAAUAAAAGAUUCAGUGCUAAAAUUUUUUAUUUUGGAAUUGCAACAUUUAGAUUUUUAUGAACAUUAUUUAGCCUUUUUUAAAUUUACAGUCUUAAGUUAUGUAGUGUAUAGACAAUUCAGUUAUACCCAAACUAGGAUCUGUAGGUUACAUUCAAAAUGUCGUGCUAUCAUGCCUUUCAGAAUACCUGUACAGAGUGUACACAAAAAUCGCAGAGGCUCAGUUUCAUAGUAUUAGAUUUUUUAAGCAGUGUUGCUGCCCCUGACACAUAUUGAAAAAUAAUUAGGCUCCUUGACUGAAAAAAAUAGUUGUGCCCCACUGGUUUAAAUUAAAUUGACAUUGUUAGUGUAAUUAAACCUAUGACUUUAUUUGACUAAACAUUUGAACCUAACUGAAAACUUAGUUGUUAUGCACGUUUGAUUUAUUCAAAGACUGUUUGUAGUUCUGGCUGAGAAGUUGGACUACAAAAUUAUACAAGAACUUAAGUCAUAGCAAUAACAAAAAAAGUAUACAACCUGGUUUGGACGUUUGAUUGUACUGCACAUAUAAAAAAAAAUGGUGAAGAAACAAACUUAAAGCCAGACAAA